Molecule: ribosomal RNA, 310 nt
Filed under: uncultured bacterium
Lineage: Bacteria
Description: bacterial SSU rRNA
Rfam family: Bacterial small subunit ribosomal RNA
Source: RNAcentral
CCUUGGUUUCUUGGGUUGAGUGCUGGGCAAAGUGUUUAGCGCUCCCGGAUGGGCCCGCGUCCCAUUAGCUAGUUGGUGGGGUAACGGCCUACCAAGGCGACGAUGGGUAGCCGGUCUGAGAGGAUGGUCGGCCACACUGGGACUGAGACACGGCCCAGACUCCUACGGGAGGCAGCAGUGGGGAAUUUUGCGCAAUGGGGGAAACCCUGACGCAGCGACGCCGCGUGGGUGAUGAAGGCCUUCGGGUCGUAAAGCCCUGUCUGGGGGGAAGAUAGUGACGGUACCCCCGGAGGAAGCCCCGGCUAACUAC